RNAcentral lists this transfer RNA (66 nucleotides) under Harpiosquilla harpax. RNAcentral describes it as "tRNA-Tyr". It matches the Rfam family "tRNA". Rfam says of the family: Transfer RNA (tRNA) molecules are approximately 80 nucleotides in length. The record is from RNAcentral. Lineage: Eukaryota; Metazoa; Arthropoda; Malacostraca; Stomatopoda; Squillidae.
GAUAAGGUGGCUGAGUUUAGGCGGUAGAUUGUAAAUUUAUUAACGAGGUUACUUCCUCCUUUAUCA